This 2021-nucleotide long non-coding RNA is filed under the name Capsicum annuum. RNAcentral's name for it is "long non-coding RNA (CANN_LNC015976)". The record is from RNAcentral. Lineage: Eukaryota; Viridiplantae; Streptophyta; Magnoliopsida; Solanales; Solanaceae.
AUCACAAAACAAAAUCAUUCAUUAAUAAUCUCAUAAUCCAAAAUAUGCAACAAAUAAUAUAAAUUCGCACUUAAAUGUCUUCAUCACUUUCUCCAUCUCUUUCUUCAUUUGGACACCAAUAAAAAAGAGAACAAAUAAUAUAAAUUAGCACUUAAAUGACACCAAUAAUUAUUUAGCUCAUCACCGAUCCUACACUUAGACUUGAUUAUACCCUACAUCAAGGCAUUCUCAGGUAUAAAAUGAAGUUAUUUGUGGGAAAAUUAAUUUAGAAAAUCAUGGGAGCCAUCUGGAUGAAAAUUAAUUUAGAAAAUCAUCAAGUAAAGCAACUCUUAUUACAGUAUGAUAUGAAAGCUUUUUUACUUGAUCAGUAGCUAGAACGGAAUGCAAACAUACUGGAGGCUUGGCACCAUGUUUCUCCAGUAGCUUGAUCACUGCAUGAUUUUUAUAAUGUAUUGCAUCUGCCAAGGGUUGUUCAAGCAAAAGAUUAGAUUGUUUCCAAAAAUGUUAACUAAGAAGGAAAAACAGGAUACUCAAAAUUUUCAGAUUGUGUCCAUUUCUUUAGCUAUUACACGAUACAUGUGCAUGAUAUUGGACAACAUUAAUAUGAACCGACAGUGGAUUAAACCUCUGCUCUGUCAAAGAUCAUAUUAUUUUGUCUUCAAUUAGUCAGAUGACUCUUACACCUAGGGUCACAUCAUAAGGAGAUUGAAGAAAUUUUAGUCAAUACAUGAGGUUGACAAGCUAGCGGUAAGACAAUCUCAGCCCAAGAGUAAGAAUUACUGAAAGCUUAAGCUAGAGACACAACUGAUUACUUGAUAUGGAGACAUAACAAGACUUUCUCGGUGAAAUAAUGCUACAAGAAGCUACAAUCCAGAAUGGGAUACAACUCGUGGUCUUGGAAGCUAACAUCUUCAAUAACAACAAUAAAGGUAAGAUGGGCUAACAGAAGGAAAAGUUGUCAAUAUGUGCAAUAUUACUCUCAUUAACCAACUACAAACCAAAAAAGAACCUUUUUGUCUGAUUUCAUAAGCUAGACACCAAGAAGUAACGGUACCAACAACAACGAACCAACAGAAGAUCGUAGUGACAAUCCAACAUCAACAAACCAAAUGGGGUUGUUAUCAUAUCAUAGUAAGGCCCCAAAAUAUGGGCUAAAGAUUGAAGUUCCCUCUGGAGUAAAAACUAGGCAAAUUUUUUCUAUCCACCUAAAGAUUGCUAGGCAGAGAACCCUUACCGUACCUAUGCUGGUAGGAACUAGCAAGUACAAUAACAACAUGCCCAGUGCAGUCCCACAAAGUGAAGUUGGGGAAGGUAGAAUAUAUGCAGACCUUACCCCCUACCUCAAAGAUAGAGAGACUGUUUUCAUGUAAGAGCUAGCAAAUACCUAGUGGAAAUUAGUAGUUUGUCCACAGACUGACCCGGACUCUAAAUAAUAACUGUAAAAGUAAGAUGGGCUAAAGGAACUCAAGGGGUGAAGGGAGACAUCAGGAAGGCAAGGACAGCUUGCCUCGAACCUUGGCAUGGUGAGAUUAAAAGAACAACAAUUUUCUUACUGAGAGGACUGGGCUUCACAUCCCAAAGGAUGGAUUGCAACAAACUCGGCUUCUCAACCAGAAGGAUGGCUUGCCAAAGUUAGUCGAGCAGUAAAUCGGAUUAUAGAAGUAAAAACUUUUCGUACAAACAUGGGCUAGAACAACCUGGCCAAAGCUACUCAACUCAAGAAAGGUUUUACUCUACUAACCAGCUACAUACCCAAUUAAGAACCUCUUUUAAAAAUUUUCAUAAGCUAGAUACCAAGAACUGUACCAACAACAGCAAACUACUCUCAAUAACCAACUACAUACACAAAAUGGAACCCUUUUACUUUUUAAUUAGGUCACAUGUUCAAGCCGUGGAAACAGUUUCUUGCAGAAAUGCAGAGUAAGGUUACGUACAAUAGGCCCUCAUUGUCAUGUUCUUUCACAAACCACACAAAUAGUGAAAGCUUUAGUGCACCGGGCUGUCUUUUAAUUUCAUAAGCU